AUUGAACGCUGGCGGCAGGCCUAACACAUGCAAGUCGGACGGUAGCACAGAGGAGCUUGCUCCUCGGGUGACGAGUGGCGGACGGGUGAGUAAUGUCUGGGGAUCUGCCCGAUAGAGGGGGAUAACCCCUGGAAACGGUGGCUAAUACCGCAUAACGUCGCAAGACCAAAGAGGGGGACCUUCGGGCCUCUCACUAUCGGAUGAACCCAGAUGGGAUUAGCUAGUAGGCGGGGUAAUGGCCCACCUAGGCGACGAUCCCUAGCUGGUCUGAGAGGAUGACCAGCCACACGGGAACUGAGACACGGUCCAGACUCCUACGGGAGGCAGCAGUGGGGAAUAUUGCACAAUGGGCGCAAGCCUGAUGCAGCCAUGCCGCGUGUAUGAAGAAGGCCUUCGGGUUGUAAAGUACUUUCAGCGGGGAGGAAGGCGGUGAGGUUAAUAACCUUGCCGAUUGACGUUACCCGCAGAAGAAGCACCGGCUAACUCCGUGCCAGCCGCCGCGGUAA
This 506-nucleotide ribosomal RNA is filed under the name uncultured bacterium. RNAcentral's name for it is "partial 16S ribosomal RNA". It matches the Rfam family "Bacterial small subunit ribosomal RNA", at positions 29 to 523 of the family's 1533-position model. The record is from RNAcentral.